This 400-nucleotide unclassified non-coding RNA is filed under the name soil metagenome. Its description in RNAcentral is "partial contains 5.8S ribosomal RNA, internal transcribed spacer 2, and large subunit ribosomal RNA". The stretch from base 1 to 122 matches the Rfam family "5.8S ribosomal RNA", at positions 35 to 154 of the family's 154-position model. The record is from RNAcentral.
GAUGAAGAACGCAGCGAAAUGCGAUACUUGGUGUGAAUUGCAGAAUCCCGUGAACCAUCGAGUCUUUGAACGCAAGUUGCGCCUCAAGCCAUUAGGUUGAGGGCACGUCUGCCUGGGCGUCACAUAUCGUUGCCUGAUGCCAGUUUCCUCGUGAUGGGUGACUGUGCAGGGCGAAUGAUGGCUUCCCGUGAGCAUUGUUGCCUCAUGGUUGGUUGAAAAUUGAGUCCUUGGUAGGGAGCGCCGUGAUAGAUGGUGGUUGAGUGACGAACGAGACCCAAUCAUGUGAGACCCCUACCGAAUUUGGCCUUCAUGAUCCACAUGCGUCUUUGGAACGCUCAUGACGAGACCUCAGGUCAGGCGGGGCUACCCGCUGAGUUUAAGCAUAUCAAUAAGCGGAGGA